Molecule: long non-coding RNA, 1908 nt
Filed under: Cicer arietinum (chickpea)
Lineage: Eukaryota; Viridiplantae; Streptophyta; Magnoliopsida; Fabales; Fabaceae
Description: long non-coding RNA (CARI_LNC003076)
Source: RNAcentral
CACAAUACAUAUUAGAUAAAUUAUUCAAAUAUAGUUUACAAAUGAAUCAAACUAAAAGAUUUCAAAAGAUAUUUGUCUAUCCAAACAAAACAACACUCAUCAUUAAGCGACUUUGGUGUCUCCAUUACCAACUAUAUCAAAAGUAGAAAGAGGAAAACCAUCUUCACCUACAACUCUUCUUCAAUAGGAUCUAAAAUUAUUGAUAAAAGAAAUAAAGACAAAGUACAAAGGGACUAUGAAUCACAUAUCACCAUAAAAUGAGAAUGAUAUAGCUAAGUACUUAAUAUAUUAGGUCCCAUAACACAUACAAAAACAUGUUAACCAUCCUUAAAUUUAUGUCUUCGGUCAUAACCUAUCCAACCAAUGCAUCCCGAACUAUAUGCUAAUUCAUACAUAAGUCAAUCCUAAUACUUUAAUGCUUAUACAAGAUGUAUCUAGAACCAUCAGACUUCUCGUGGAGUCUUUGGAUAGUAUUAAUUGAUUUUAUAGAUAUCUCAUAAAUGAGUAUGAAUCUAUAACUUCUAUGUAAAGAUGUAGCAAAUGACUAAGUGUAGCAAAACUUUCAACCUCAUGUGUCCUGUUAUAAUGACACACAAUAAUGAACUUACAUAUCACAUGUAUGCAACUACAUGAGUUUCUCACUUAAUAUGCUUAUUAAAGUCAUGGAAAUUCAUACUACAAGUAUGACCUUGUCAUUUAUUUUAAUAAAUACAAAACAGAACAUCAAGUGGCAUCAAGAGCUUUGGUUAUUCUUGUUUAAAAGGUGUAAAAAUCACAAGAGUUAUUCCUAAUGGCUAACCCUCAAUCUAAGGGUGCGUAUAAUAGAGUCCUCGUAUUCAAAGGAGAAAAUUAUGGAGUGACUUGGAUAGCCUAUCUAGCCAAUGCAUCACAAACUAUAUGUUAAUUAAGACCCAAACCAAUCCUAAUGUCUUAUCUUGUCAAUGGGAUUUCUACCCAAAGGAAGGAAGAAUGAGGAUGACAUAUGUUUCUUGUCAUAUUAUCCACCGUAACUUGGGUGCUGAAGUGUCAAGCUAAUGACAAUAAAGAAGUGUUUCAUGGGAGGCAACCCAAACAUUUUCCUUAAUUUCUUGAUUUCUUUAUGAUUACUUGUUUUGUUCUAACUUUUAAGUAUGAGAAUUGAAUUGGGAAUGGUAAGUUGAUGUGUUUGACAGGUUGUAAAGUUGAGUCUCACUCUCAACUCAUGGUUUAACAGUGAAGGAAAAGAAGCAGUGCAUGAAUGUUGUAGCAGGCAAAUGUUAUGGAAAACCAAGCUACUGUAGCCUAUAGAUGUUGUGCAAAACCAUAAUAUUGUAGCAUUGCUACAACAUCUGUUAGGGCAAUAUCAUCUUCUUUCUAUAUUCUCUCUAUUACUUUAACUUAAUUGUUAGAUAUUUUCUAGUAUAAUUUAGCGUUAUAUUGCUUUUACUAAAUUCCAUCUCCCUUUUCAAAUUUUAGCAUAAGUAGUGGCAACACUACUUCUACUAUAAGAAUGGGGGAGAGGAUGGUAUUGUUUUUUUAGUCUUAGGAAUGGUUGUUGUGCUUUAAUCUGAAUAAACUCUAAUUUUGUUGGGACCUUAGAUUUGAACUCUAGAAGUUUUUCCACUUUUAGUUAUACUUUUUGUGAAAAGGUUUAAGGUACUCUAGGAUAUAUCAAGACAUAAGCUAUUAAGAAAAUUUUCAAUUGAAUUAAGCAUUUAGCAUAAGAUAUACCAUUUGUUAAUAAUCAGUGUAUGGAAAAAGUGUGACACCUUAGUCAUAUAAGAAAGAAAAGAGAAAAAGAAGACUCACUUCUCUAAAUAGUAAUUGAGUGGUCUUCACACCAUUAUUUGCGUCAAAAGGUAGUGAUAAAAAGUGUUUUAUUGAGUAGUAAUUGAGUGAUCUUCACCCCUUGGCUCAUGUCAAAAGGUG